Non-coding RNA from Equus caballus (horse), 38 nucleotides. Lineage: Eukaryota; Metazoa; Chordata; Mammalia; Perissodactyla; Equidae. The record is from Rfam.
CUGGCUUUGAAGACAAACAGAAUAAAAACUUCAUGUUC